CACCACAAACUUGCUGUCUGCAUGCUUCCUUAGAGGACACAGCGACUAAUUGAUGGUCAAAUGGCAUCCUUCAGUGAAGAUUGGGAUUGGGCAAAACUGGGAUAAACACUGGAACCUGUUUUAGUUAUCUAUUGCUGAGUCAUAGGAACCUCAACAAGCCAGUAAUGGCUUAAAACUCAUGAUUUUGUGUGUCUGAAAUAUUUCAGGGGCUUGUCUGGGGUGGUUCUUCUCUGCUCUGCCUGGCUAGGACUGUCACUUGAUGCUGCUCCUUGCUUUUCCCUCUCCACGUGACAUCCUCAUCCUUCAGGGCCUGUCAGUGGAACCUGGACUACUCACAGGGCACCUAUAUUUUAAGGGCCGUGGCUUCUCCUUUCUGGUCUGAUAAAAUAAUA
This 392-nucleotide long non-coding RNA is filed under the name Homo sapiens (human). RNAcentral describes it as "HSALNT0353587". The record is from RNAcentral. Lineage: Eukaryota; Metazoa; Chordata; Mammalia; Primates; Hominidae.